UGCUGGAUAGCUCAGUUGGUAGAGCAUGAGGCUGGGUUGUGGGUUCAAGCCCCGCACUGGGUGAA
Molecule: non-coding RNA, 65 nt
Organism: Podarcis lilfordi (Lilford's wall lizard)
Lineage: Eukaryota; Metazoa; Chordata; Lepidosauria; Squamata; Lacertidae
Source: the annotation of a GenBank genome assembly